This 1015-nucleotide long non-coding RNA is filed under the name Homo sapiens (human). RNAcentral describes it as "non-protein coding lnc-AP3S1-17:1". The record is from RNAcentral. Lineage: Eukaryota; Metazoa; Chordata; Mammalia; Primates; Hominidae.
CUUCCUUUUUGCCUGCAGAACCUCCAGCUCCACUCAGCUCCUGGGGCUCAGCCAGCAGAGCUGUGCAGUGGAAAGGAAUCCACCUUGGAACAGGAUCCCUGGCUUUACCACUUCAAUUGCUGAGUGAUCUCCAGCUAGUUAGUUUCAGCCUAUUUCCUCAUGUGAAAAAUUGAGGUAAAAAUACUUGGAAAUAUUGUUGUAAAGGUUAAGUAACGUAAGAAAAAUGCCUGGAACCAUGUCUUCCACCAAAGUAGGUAGGGGCUCAACAAAUAUUGAAUUGAUUCAUAUGACAUUGCCAUUUAUAUAGGUCAAAAAUGGCCAAAUAUUGACAAUUUCAUAUGGUUCAACCUGCCAUCAGCCUAUUACUCAAGCACCUAAGAAAUCAGUGUCCAAUUGGUUGGAGUAUUGGGUACAAACAAGGUAGAACCUUAGAGGUAGAACCCCAGUGUUGACUUUUAUUUACAUUAUCAAAGAAUCAAGGAAGGCCAGCACCCUACUAUGCACUUUAAAUUCUGGAAGAUUUUCUUCACUCUUAGCUAGUUAAACAAAGCCGAUUUAAGAGACAGGAUAAAAUUGUGGUUUAGAGCCUAGACUCUGGGGAGAGAUUGUCUGGGAUUAAAUUCCAGCUCUGCUACUGACGAGCAUUGUGAAACUGAGCAAGUUUGUUAAUCAACCUGGGUCUCAGUUUUGUUCCCCGUGACAUAGGAUAUUACAGGGUGUUGUGCAGAUGAAAUAAGUUAAAACAUGUAACAUUCUUAGAAUCUGGAAGUGUUAACGAUCAUUAUCUUGAUUUAAAAUAGGUGGUUUGGCCUGACUAGUUAGUGAAAUCUCUUUCACAACAAAGCACCCAUUGGGUAGAAAUCAGAACUCCAGCAAUGGAGAAUCAGCCUCCCCUUGUUGAUCAGUCCCAGUUUAGCAGCUGGGAUACUCCUUGGGAAGCUCAAAGAUGGUAGGUGUCACCACCCAUGAUAGCUCAGUGAGAAUCCACCCAGCCAGUGAUGAGUGCUUCAAGGGU